Molecule: ribosomal RNA, 406 nt
Filed under: uncultured bacterium
Lineage: Bacteria
Description: partial 16S ribosomal RNA
Rfam family: Bacterial small subunit ribosomal RNA
Source: RNAcentral
AUUGAACGCUGGCGGCAGGCUUAACACAUGCAAGUCGAGCGAGCGGCCGACGGGUGAGUAAUGUCUGGGAAACUGACUGAUGGAGGGGGAUAACUUAUGGAAACGGUAGCUACUACCGCAUACCAUCAGAUGAACCCAGAUGGGAGUAGCUAGUAGGUGGGGUACUGUCUCACCUACGAGACGAUCCCUAGCGGGUCUGAGAGGAGGACCAGCACCAUCGUAACUGAGACACGUGCCAGACUCCUACGGUAGGCAGCAGGGCGGAAUAUUGCACAAGGGGCGCAAGCCGGAUGCAGCCAUGCCGCGUGUGUGAAGAGGGCCUUCGGGUUGUAAAGCACUUUCAGCGAGGAGUCGUUACUCGCAGAAGAAGCACCGGCUAACUCCGUGCCAGCAGCCGCGGUAAUAC